Molecule: long non-coding RNA, 201 nt
Filed under: Nicotiana benthamiana
Lineage: Eukaryota; Viridiplantae; Streptophyta; Magnoliopsida; Solanales; Solanaceae
Description: long non-coding RNA (NBEN_LNC026207)
Source: RNAcentral
UUUCAUCUUAUUAUUAUUAAUGUGUUGUGUAUAUUGACAUGAUAAUGCACAAAGAUGAUUUCACAGAGGUGAGGAAACAUGUUAGUUUUCCUAACAUGAGGGGGGAGACAUGAUGAACACUUGAGAAAAGGUUACAUGAGAUGAAUUAUCAUUUGUAUAUAUAGAUCCUCGAAUAUCAUAAUAUGAACAUGAAGUUCANNN